GGGUGCGAUCAUACCAGCACUAAUGCACCGGAUCCCAUCAGAACUCCGCAGUUAAGCGUGCUUGGGCGAGAGUAGUACUAGGAUGGUUGACUUCUGGGAAGUCCUCGUGUUGCACCCC
Non-coding RNA from Arabis alpina (gray rockcress), 118 nucleotides. NCBI's taxonomy places the organism in Eukaryota, Viridiplantae, Streptophyta, Magnoliopsida, Brassicales, Brassicaceae. The record is from Rfam.